Molecule: transfer RNA, 77 nt
Filed under: Aquificota bacterium
Lineage: Bacteria; Pseudomonadati; Aquificota
Description: Aquificae bacterium tRNA-Lys
Rfam family: tRNA
About the family: Transfer RNA (tRNA) molecules are approximately 80 nucleotides in length. Their secondary structure includes four short double-helical elements and three loops (D, anti-codon, and T loops).
Source: RNAcentral
GGCCCGCUAGCUCAACUCGGUAGAGCAACGGACUCUUAAUCCGUGGGUUCCAGGUUCGAGUCCUGGGCGGGUCACCA